CUUGUGUCCAUGGAUCUCUCAAAGCAGCUGAGGAUUGUGGGGCAACCAUCUUGUCCAGAGACCACGUAUUGAAACCAGGAUUUAUUAUCUUUGUUAAUUUCCUUCGCUUUUCUCUGUGAAAGAGAAACCCAAAUUUACAAAGAAAGUGGAAGAAGUGGGAUUCUCAAGCAGAGCUUUUAAUCACUGCUACACAGAAUGUUACUAACAGUGAAAAUGAGGCAGCCUAAAGGCAGAACAAUACUGGAUGAACAACAACCAGAAAAACCCCAUCAUCGUCAUAAGAGCUGCAAAUCAAAGCAAGGGUAAGAGAGAAGGAGAAUGGACACUGGAGGCCUUUGCUUGGGGCCAGCCCUCACUACAAAGCAGAAGGUCAGCAACUCUGGAGGGAACAAAGGACAGCAUGCUGGCCUUGAAAAAGAUUUUAAAGCCAUCAUCAUAAAACUGAUUUGGUAUAUGGGAAAAAUUUAAGAAAAUUAUCUAAGAAACUGGGGGA
RNAcentral lists this long non-coding RNA (493 nucleotides) under Homo sapiens (human). RNAcentral describes it as "HSALNT0052414". The record is from RNAcentral. Lineage: Eukaryota; Metazoa; Chordata; Mammalia; Primates; Hominidae.